AGUGAACGCUGGCGGUAGGCCUAACACAUGCAAGUCGAGCGGCCGCACAGUAAGAUCUUGCUCUUACGGGUAGCGAGUGGCGGACGGGUGAGGAAUACAUCGGAAUCUACUUUUUCGUGGGGGAUAACGUAGGGACACUUACGCUACUACCGCAUACGACCUACGGGAGAAAGCAGGGGAUCUUCGCACCUUGCGCGUUUGAAUGAGACGAUGUCGCAUUAGCUAGUUGGCGGGGUAAAGGCCCACCAAGGCGACGAUCCGUAGCUGGUCUGAGAGGAUGAUCAGCCACACUGGAACUGAGACACGGUCCAGACUCCUACGGGAGGCAGCAGUGGGGAAUCUUGGGCAAUGGGCGCAAGCCUGACCCAGCCAUACCGCGUGAGUGAUGAAGGCCUUCGGAUCGUAAAGCCCUUUUGUUGGGAAAGAAAAGCAGCAGGUUAAUACCCCGCUGUUCUGACGGUACCCAAAGAAAAAGCACCGGCUAACUUCGUG
This 492-nucleotide ribosomal RNA is filed under the name uncultured bacterium. Its description in RNAcentral is "partial 16S ribosomal RNA". It matches the Rfam family "Bacterial small subunit ribosomal RNA", at positions 29 to 507 of the family's 1533-position model. The record is from RNAcentral.